ACGACUCUCGGCAACGGAUAUCUCGGCUCUCGCAUCGAUGAAGAACGUAGCGAAAUGCGAUACUUGGUGUGAAUUGCAGAAUCCCGUGAACCAUCGAGUUUUUGAACGCAAGUUGCGCCCAAAGCCUUUCGGCCGAGGGCACGUCUGCCUGGGUGUCACGCAACAU
This 166-nucleotide ribosomal RNA is filed under the name Croton argenteus. RNAcentral describes it as "5.8S ribosomal RNA". It matches the Rfam family "5.8S ribosomal RNA". From Rfam's summary of the family: 5.8S ribosomal RNA (5.8S rRNA) is a component of the large subunit of the eukaryotic ribosome. It is transcribed by RNA polymerase I as part of the 45S precursor that also contains 18S and 28S rRNA. The record is from RNAcentral. RNAcentral also lists the same sequence under 2 other names. Lineage: Eukaryota; Viridiplantae; Streptophyta; Magnoliopsida; Malpighiales; Euphorbiaceae.